This 473-nucleotide long non-coding RNA is filed under the name Theobroma cacao (cacao). RNAcentral describes it as "long non-coding RNA (TCAC_LNC005662)". The record is from RNAcentral. Lineage: Eukaryota; Viridiplantae; Streptophyta; Magnoliopsida; Malvales; Malvaceae.
GAUUUUCAUCCUUGAUUUUGAAAUGAGAAAAGCUCAAGCUUAAGAAAACAGAAUUGUAUACCAGGAGAAGCCAUGAUCUACUGUCAGAAAAGACAAAGUCAUACAUGCUUUCAACUUUCUUCAGUGACAAUAUCCCGUGUAAACUUUCCCCUCCUUUCCUCGGUUGUGUCCUCCUUCGUUGAAGAAUGAUCAAUUUUCUCAGUGCUUGGAAAGCAAAAACUCUUCACAAUUGACUUUCAUCGCAGGUGAAACAUUUUCGCCAUUGCCUUGUACUUUUCUUAUGAGCCAAUUCAAAUAGACUCCACCUCUUUCUGCGUUUAGGGGUUUGACAAAAGAGGAAUAACUCAAAUUCCUCUUCAUCUUCAUCAAUCAUUUCAGUAUCCAAAUCCCAAGGAAACCUGCUUGACUUGGAUCUGUGUCGUCUUCUCCAAUCCAAUCAUGUCUACAUGAAUGCUUGUUUGGGUUUUUUUUUU